UCAGGACGAACGCUGGCGGCGUGCCUAACACAUGCAAGUCGAGCGAGGAGAUCCUUCGGGAUGAUCCUAGCGGCGGACGGGUGAGUAACACGUGGGCAACCUGCCUCAUAGAGAGGAAUAGCCUUCCGAAAGGGAGAUUAAUACCUCAUAACAUUGCAGUUUCGCAUGGAACAGCAAUUAAAGGAGCAAUCCGCUAUGAGAUGGGCCCGCGGCGCAUUAGCUAGUUGGUGAGGUAACGGCUCACCAAGGCGACGAUGCGUAGCCGACCUGAGAGGGUGAUCGGCCACAUUGGGACUGAGACACGGCCCAGACUCCUACGGGAGGCAGCAGUGGGGAAUAUUGCACAAUGGGGGAAACCCUGAUGCCAGCAACGCCGCGUGAGUGAUGACGGCCUUCGGGUUGUAAAGCUCUGUCUUCAGGGACGAUAAUGACGGUACCUGAGGAGGAAGCCACGGCUAACUACGUGCCAGCCGCGGC
RNAcentral lists this ribosomal RNA (477 nucleotides) under uncultured bacterium. Its description in RNAcentral is "bacterial SSU rRNA". It matches the Rfam family "Bacterial small subunit ribosomal RNA", at positions 24 to 518 of the family's 1533-position model. The record is from RNAcentral.